UAACGAUGUUGUGAGCAUCUCCUCAAUAAAUCUCUGUAUCUCUCCCAAGAUUCAUACAGUUGUUCAUCAGGCUGUUGAGAGAAAACUACAAUCUCUGAUCUCAAUUU
Benincasa hispida (wax gourd) is the source of this 107-nucleotide small nucleolar RNA. The record is from RefSeq and is a predicted model, not a curated record. Lineage: Eukaryota; Viridiplantae; Streptophyta; Magnoliopsida; Cucurbitales; Cucurbitaceae.